Culex quinquefasciatus (southern house mosquito) is the source of this 471-nucleotide long non-coding RNA. RefSeq lists it as uncharacterized. The record is from RefSeq and is a predicted model, not a curated record. The transcript has 2 exons. Lineage: Eukaryota; Metazoa; Arthropoda; Insecta; Diptera; Culicidae.
AAACAAAGACCGUGCUUCGCGAAUUUGAAAUUUGCUGAUUGUGCCGUAUUCUACCGCAUCAAGCAGCUGGUUGACUUCCGUCGACCAUGCAGAUUCUGGCGGUGUGAAUGUUCUACCAUGCAGAUUCUGGCGGUGUGAAUGUUCUAGUGAAUAGACCGGAAGUGUUGUGCUCUCCAAGAAGGCAGCUUCGCGAGUUUCCGGAAAAUUAUGACCGUGGUGAUGGUGAAAGCGAAUAGACGGUGCAUUCGGAAGCGGAAGAGUGGAAGUCAGUUUGGCCGCGGUGGAUGGAAGUCGAUGCUUCCAGCAAUGCCUCGAUGGACAUGAAUUGGUCCAGCCUGGUCUAACGUCCUUUUAAACGAAAAUACUGGCACCGGGGGAAGAUUUUUCUGUUAUUCACCUUGAAACCAUGCACAUAAUGCCCUGCGGGGGUAUACAAUAUCAGUAUUACGGAACAAUAAAUGUAGAAACACA